This 63-nucleotide transfer RNA is filed under the name Anaticola crassicornis (slender duck louse). RNAcentral's name for it is "tRNA-Val". The record is from RNAcentral. Lineage: Eukaryota; Metazoa; Arthropoda; Insecta; Psocodea; Philopteridae.
AAAACAAAGUUUUAAGAAAUUACCUGAUUACACCAGGUAGAUCUGGUAUAUGCCAGUGUUUUU